AAGCGAUUAUUAUAAGAAAGGUGAGUUAUUCUGCUGUUGAAUCUCUUCUCUGAGAGUCUGUGGCUCAGUUUGUCUGGUUUCUGUGUGUUAUAAGCUCCUCACAGCUGAGAAGGGUCUGGCUGCAGCCCGCCGCCAUUUUGAUUCGAAAACGAGGCUGACUGUCAGCAGCGUUCACUAUGGCGUAUUGUCGUGUACGUUCAGCCGUCAAAAUAAAGAGAAUACAUCAUUUCACAAAUUUCCACAGGACAAAGAACUUCAGAAAAAGUGGAUUGUUAAAAUUCGACGGGACAUAGGACCUAACUUUCAGAUUACAAAGAACACAAGAGUGUGCUCGAAACAUUUCUCUCCGGAAUGUUUUUCAAGAACAUUGACUGGAAUCAGGUUCAGUUCCGUCAGUGUUUACCUGGACUCAGCGGCCUUACGAAACGAAAACCCUGCGAUCACAAGGAAAAUGUCAUUUAGAGGAAGAACAUGAGGAAGAUGAAAGUUCUACAAAGGAUGGACCAAGCAAUGAAGAAUGAUACCCGCGAUCCUGAAGGCCGACGAGAGCCCCA
Long non-coding RNA from Cyprinus carpio (common carp), 554 nucleotides. RefSeq lists it as uncharacterized. The record is from RefSeq and is a predicted model, not a curated record. Lineage: Eukaryota; Metazoa; Chordata; Actinopteri; Cypriniformes; Cyprinidae. The transcript has 5 exons.